UCCCAGUUGAUCUGGGCAGUCUUACUUGAGUGCUAGGCAAAUGCCUGUGGCAACAAGUCAUGAGGGUUGCGCUCGUUGCGGGACUUAACCCAACAUCUCACGACACGAGCUGACGACAGCCAUGCAGCACCUGUGCAAAUUUUGGGUUUCCCCAAUCUCGCGCUUUCACGCGAUUAGAGAUGCAUGUCGAGCCCAGGUAAGGUUCUUCGCGUUGCAUCGAAUUAAGCCACAUACUCCACCGCUUGUGCGGGUCCCCGUCAAUUUCUUUGAGUUUUAAUCUUGCGAUCGUACUUCCCAGGCGGCGCGCUUAACGCGUUUGCUCCGGCACAGGAUAGGUCAAACCAUCCCACACCAAGCGCGCACCGUUUACAGCCAGGACUA
RNAcentral lists this unclassified non-coding RNA (381 nucleotides) under uncultured Verrucomicrobiaceae bacterium. RNAcentral's name for it is "contains 16S-23S intergenic spacer region". Lineage: Bacteria; Pseudomonadati; Verrucomicrobiota; Verrucomicrobiia; Verrucomicrobiales; Verrucomicrobiaceae. The record is from RNAcentral.